RNAcentral lists this unclassified non-coding RNA (257 nucleotides) under fungal sp. Its description in RNAcentral is "partial internal transcribed spacer region". The record is from RNAcentral. Lineage: Eukaryota; Fungi.
AAGUCGUAACAAGGUUUCCGUAAGUUUUUAAUCUUCCCUCGGAGAUUUGCCCAAAUGACCCCCAAUACUAACAGCCCUUUUAGGUAGGUGAACCUGCGGAAGGAUCAUUAAAGGUUGCUAGCCCGGGGUACCCCCCCGGUGUUACGCUUCAAACCCAAAUGUCUAUCGUUUAAGAAAAACCUUUUUUUAAACUCCAGAUCAUGGAUUUAUCAAAAACAAAUUAUUAAAAACUUUCAACAACGGAUCUCUUGGGACAC